GACGAACGCUGGCGGCGUGCUUAACACAUGCAAGUCGAACGGAAAGGCCCUGCUUUUGUGGGGUGCUCGAGUGGCGAACGGGUGAGUAACACGUGAGUAACCUGCCCUUGACUUUGGGAUAACUUCAGGAAACUGGGGCUAAUACCGGAUAGGAGCUCCUGCUGCAUGGUGGGGGUUGGAAAGUUUCGGCGGUUGGGGAUGGACUCGCGGCUUACCGGCUUGUUGGUGGGGUAGUGGCUGACCAAGGCUUUGACGGGUAGCCGGCCUGGGAGGGUGACCGGCGACAUGGGGCCUGAGGUGAGGCCCAGGUUGCGACGGUUCGCAACGGUGGGAAAGCUUGCACAAUGGACGGAGGCCUGGUGCAGCAGCGCUGCGUGUGGGAAGACGGUCUUCGGGUGGUAAACCGCUUUCGCAUGUAACGGAGCGUGAGUGACGGUAAUGGGUAAAGAAGCCCCGGCUAACUACGUG
Molecule: ribosomal RNA, 468 nt
Filed under: uncultured bacterium
Lineage: Bacteria
Description: partial 16S ribosomal RNA
Rfam family: Bacterial small subunit ribosomal RNA
Source: RNAcentral